Molecule: ribosomal RNA, 1354 nt
Filed under: Candidatus Phytoplasma citri
Lineage: Bacteria; Bacillati; Mycoplasmatota; Mollicutes; Acholeplasmatales; Acholeplasmataceae
Also listed under: 1 other name
Description: bacterial SSU rRNA
Rfam family: Bacterial small subunit ribosomal RNA
Source: RNAcentral
GGUUUUAGUGGCGAACGGGUGAGUACACGUAAGCAACCUACCCUAAAGACGAGGAUAACCAUUGGAAACAGUGGCUAAGACUGGAUAGGAAGAUAAAAGGCAUCUUUUAUCUUUUAAAAGACCUAGUAAUAGGUAUGCUUUAGGAGGGGCUUGCGCCAUAUUAGUUAGUUGGUAGGGUAAUGGCCUACCAAGACGAUGAUGUGUAGCUGGACUGAGAGGUUGAACAGCCACAUUGGGACUGAGACACGGCCCAAACUCCUACGGGAGGCAGCAGUAGGGAAUUUUCGGCAAUGGAGGAAACUCUGACCGAGCAACGCCGCGUGAAUGACGAAGUACUUCGGUAUGUAAAGUUCUUUUAUCAAGGAAGAAAAGCAAAUGGCGAACCAUUUGUUUGCCGGUACUUGAUGAAUAAGCCCCGGCUAAUUAUGUGCCAGCAGCCGCGGUAAGACAUAAGGGGCAAGUGUUAUCCGGAAUUAUUGGGCGUAAAGGGUGCGUAGGCGGUCUAGUAAGUCAGUGGUGUAAUGGCAACGCUUAACGUUGUCCGGCUAUUGAAACUGCUAAACUUGAGUUAGAUAGAGGCGAGUGGAAUUCCAUGUGUAGCGGUAAAAUGCGUAAAUAUAUGGAGGAACACCAGAGGCGUAGGCGGCUCGCUGGGUCUUAACUGACGCUGAGGCACGAAAGCGUGGGGAGCAAACAGGAUUAGAUACCCUGGUAGUCCACGCCGUAAACGAUGAGUACUAAGUGUCGGGUUAAACCGGUACUGAAGUUAACACAUUAAGUACUCCGCCUGAGUAGUACGUACGCAAGUAUGAAACUUAAAGGAAUUGACGGGACUCCGCACAAGCGGUGGAUCAUGUUGUUUAAUUCGAAGAUACCCGAAAAACCUUACCAGGUCUUGACAUGUUUUUGCAAAAUGAUAGUAAUAUCGUGGAGGUUACCAGAAACACAGGUGGUGCAUGGUUGUCGUCAGCUCGUGUCGUGAGAUGUUAGGUUAAGUCCUAAAACGAGCGAAACCCUUAUCGUUAGUUGCCAGCACGUUAUGGUGGGGACUUUAACGAGACUGCCAAUGAUAAAUUGGAGGAAGGUGAGGAUCACGUCAAAUCAGCAUGCCCCUUAUGACCUGGGCUACAAACGUGAUACAAUGGCUGUUACAAAGGGUAGCUGAAACGCAAGUUCUUGGCCAAUCCCCAAAAACAGUCCCAGUCCGGAUUGAAGUCUGCAACUCGACUUCAUGAAGUUGGAAUCGCUAGUAAUCGCGAAUCAGCAUGUCGCGGUGAAUACGUUCUCGGGGUUUGUACACACCGCCCGUCAAACCACGAAAGUUGGCAAUACCCCAAAACGGUAGCCUAACUCG